GACGAACGCUGGCGGCGUGCCUAAUACAUGCAAGUAGAACGCACAGUUUAUACCGUAGCUUGCUACACCAUAAACUGUGAGUUGCGAACGGGUGAGUAACGCGUAGGUAACCUGCCUGGUAGCGGGGGAUAACUAUUGGAAACGAUAGCUAAUACCGCAUAAUAUUAAUUAUUGCAUGAUAAUUGAUUGAAAGAUGCAAUUGCAUCACUACCAGAUGGACCUGCGUUGUAUUAGCUAGUAGGUGAGGUAACGGCUCACCUAGGCGACGAUACAUAGCCGACCUGAGAGGGUGAUCGGCCACACUGGGACUGAGACACGGCCCAGACUCCUACGGGAGGCAGCAGUAGGGAAUCUUCGGCAAUGGACGAAAGUCUGACCGAGCAACGCCGCGUGAGUGAAGAAGGUUUUCGGAUCGUAAAGCUCGGUUGUAAGAGAAGAACGGGUGUGAGAGUGGAAAGUUCACACUGUGACGGUAUCUUAACAGAAAGGGACGGCUAACUACGUG
RNAcentral lists this ribosomal RNA (505 nucleotides) under uncultured bacterium. RNAcentral describes it as "partial 16S ribosomal RNA". It matches the Rfam family "Bacterial small subunit ribosomal RNA", at positions 28 to 507 of the family's 1533-position model. The record is from RNAcentral.